Molecule: long non-coding RNA, 203 nt
Filed under: Elaeis guineensis (African oil palm)
Lineage: Eukaryota; Viridiplantae; Streptophyta; Magnoliopsida; Arecales; Arecaceae
Description: long non-coding RNA (EGUI_LNC074873)
Source: RNAcentral
UGCCCUCUCUCUUAUCUUCUUCAUGCUAAAGAAUAAGGUGUUGAAAAAUCGGCUGACGCAUAGCAUAUAUUUUAAAAAAAAUUUAUGCAGCAAAAAAUCAAAUUAAACAAUUUAAUCUAUACUACAUGCUUAAGAUUUAAUCUUAAUGCCUAUCCUAGGAUCUAUAACAUGUUAUGAUGCAUGUAUAUGAUCUAAAAAACAAA